GCGGUCAUAGCUCAGCUGGUAGAGCGCAACCUUGCCAAGGUUGAGGUCGCGAGUUCGAACCUCGUUGACCGCUCAA
Molecule: transfer RNA, 76 nt
Filed under: Glutamicibacter sp. HZAU
Lineage: Bacteria; Bacillati; Actinomycetota; Actinomycetes; Micrococcales; Micrococcaceae
Description: tRNA-Gly
Rfam family: tRNA
About the family: Transfer RNA (tRNA) molecules are approximately 80 nucleotides in length.
Source: RNAcentral